UACGGGGGGGGCAAGCGUUGUUCGGAAUUACUGGGCGUAAAGGGCUCGUAGGCGGCCAACUAAGUCAGACGUGAAAUCCCCAGGCUUAACCUGGGAACUGCGUCUGAUACUGGAUGGCUUGAAUUCGGGAGAGGGAUGCAGAAUUCCAGGUGUAGCGGUGAAAUGCGUAGAUAUCUGGAGGAAUACCGGUGGCGAAGGCGGCACCCUGGACCGAGAUUGACGCUGAUGAGCGAAAGCUAGGGGAGCAAACGGG
RNAcentral lists this ribosomal RNA (253 nucleotides) under uncultured bacterium. Its description in RNAcentral is "partial 16S ribosomal RNA". It matches the Rfam family "Bacterial small subunit ribosomal RNA", at positions 524 to 776 of the family's 1533-position model. The record is from RNAcentral.